This 253-nucleotide ribosomal RNA is filed under the name uncultured bacterium. Its description in RNAcentral is "partial 16S ribosomal RNA". It matches the Rfam family "Bacterial small subunit ribosomal RNA", at positions 524 to 776 of the family's 1533-position model. The record is from RNAcentral.
UACAGAGGGUGCGAGCGUUGUUCGGAAUACUGGGCGUAAGGCGCGUGUAGGCGGCCAUCUAAGUCGGGCGUGAAAUCCCACGGCUCAACCGUGGAAGUGCACUCGAAACUGGAUGGCUAGAGUCCUGGAGAGGAAGGUGGAAUGCUUGGUGUAGAGGUGAAAUUCGUAGAUAUCAAGCGGAACACCGGUGGCGAAGGCGGCCUUCUGGACAGUGACGUGACGCUGAGACGCGAAAGCGUGGGGAGCAAACAGG